Non-coding RNA from Trichobilharzia regenti, 46 nucleotides. Lineage: Eukaryota; Metazoa; Platyhelminthes; Trematoda; Strigeidida; Schistosomatidae. The record is from Rfam.
GUACCGAUGAAGAGUUCAAAACUAGGACGAAACAGCUGUUCAGUAC